Colletotrichum gloeosporioides is the source of this 120-nucleotide non-coding RNA. The record is from Rfam. Lineage: Eukaryota; Fungi; Ascomycota; Sordariomycetes; Glomerellales; Glomerellaceae.
ACAUGCGGCCAUACCCAUUGGAAAGCUCGGGAUCCCGUCCGCUCUCCCAACGAUAAACCACUGAGGGCCGGAGUAGUGGUCGGGUCGGUGACGACCGGCGAAUGCCCGGUGCUGCAUGUU